Molecule: transfer RNA, 25 nt
Filed under: Uperoleia laevigata (smooth toadlet)
Lineage: Eukaryota; Metazoa; Chordata; Amphibia; Anura; Myobatrachidae
Also listed under: 3 other names
Description: partial tRNA-Ala
Source: RNAcentral
GUGGGGUAGUAUCCUACAAGUCUUA